Molecule: microRNA precursor, 56 nt
Filed under: Pongo abelii (Sumatran orangutan)
Lineage: Eukaryota; Metazoa; Chordata; Mammalia; Primates; Hominidae
Description: miRNA
Source: RNAcentral
AAAGGUAACUGUGGUUUUUACUAUUUGAAAGUAAUGGCAAAAACUGCAAUUACUUU